Molecule: long non-coding RNA, 948 nt
Organism: Rosa rugosa (rugosa rose)
Lineage: Eukaryota; Viridiplantae; Streptophyta; Magnoliopsida; Rosales; Rosaceae
Exons: 4
Source: RefSeq, a predicted model, not a curated record
UUUUCUAGCAGUUGUUGUGAUCUAAUGAUUCUGAUACUUGGUGUUGUGUUAUAGUCUCUAGGUUCACACAGAGGAACAUUCUAAAGAUUUACCCCAAAGGAACAUGAAGUUGCCUCCUUGAAUUUCCAACCACAUGUUGGAUGGAUGCAUGGAGCUCAAAUGGUUAUCUCUAAUAUGCAGAUAAGGACACAUAAUUGUUUUCGGACUUGGCUGCAGCACAUGAAUCAUCUUGAAUAGGGUAUCGCUAGGAGUGCAUUACACUUUGUAGGAGAUAAAGGCUGUUGCCUCCAACAUAAAAGAUUCUGAAGUUAAACAAUUUAUUUAGAAUGGUAUGGUCCUAACACCCCAAAGAUUGUCAGGAGAAGAGCUUCUGUCCGCAGAGUGGAGGAGGUUUGGUUAGACCCUCACAACCGAUUUUGAAGAAAUUUUAUAAGCAGUGUGAUCCUGGUCAGUGCUCACUGUUUCAGUCUCAUUUUCUAAAUUUUAUUCCCUACUGAAUUACUAUUUGUUGCUGCACGACUUUUUGUAUAGAUAGAACUGCAAGCAAUGUUUUUGGAGAGACUCCAUGACCAACUUUUGAUAGGCUAACACCUUUUGUAUAUAUACACCUGGAGCAACUAGAACAACUAUUUUUUGGAAAAUGUUCCAGCAGCAAUUGUAACCAAGUUGACCUUAAACUAAGAUAGCCUAUUUUUUGAAAACUACUAUAUAUAAUGGAAAAUGUUGCCAGUAGAAACUUUGAUAAGAUCUCAAAGCUAGGGCAUGAUUUAAUUCAUCUUUUGUUUUAGAUGAUCUGCAGUGAUGAUAUUGUACUAUUUUGUCAUAUUUUACAAUUUUGUCUGAGAUCCUUGAUUUAUAAUGUAGCAAUGGUCUCAAGACAAUUGAAAACAGUUUUGUCGUCCUUUUAAGUUUAGUUCUAUUACAUCUAAUUCAUUGAUAACGGUACAU